Molecule: long non-coding RNA, 1200 nt
Filed under: Phaseolus vulgaris (common bean)
Lineage: Eukaryota; Viridiplantae; Streptophyta; Magnoliopsida; Fabales; Fabaceae
Description: long non-coding RNA (PVUL_LNC004593)
Source: RNAcentral
UUUCUUAUGAAUGCAAUACCAUUUAUAUCAAAUAUUACGGAAAGGAUAUUUCUUUAAAUUCAUUCAACGCAUACCUACUAUUUAUAUACAAUCAUAUUGGAGAGAUAUGCUCCAUAUAAUUUGCUACUUCAUAUGUUAUGUCUUUCUAUCAAGAAUUACACCAAAUUAUUGUCUUAUUUUUACCAUGUAUAUUAUACAUUGAUACACUUUCUAUAUACAUCUAUAUGAAAAAUAUAAUAAUUCCAAUACCCCCUCAAGUUGGUGAGUAAAUAUCAUGGACUCCCAACUUGUUUCGCAAAGUCACGAGGUCUCACAGGAUAUAACGUAUCCAUGCUAGCUCCACACAAGCAUUUGUCAUGACCCGAUAUUUUGCUUUUGGCAGAUGACCUUGACACAUUGGUUUGUUUCUUAGACUUUCAAGAUACUGAUGACUACUUUUACAGCAAAUGGAUCGUGUUGUCAAAAGUAAUAAUUUGUCUUCAAAAUCAUAUAAUUUGUAGCCUUUAAAUUAGGUAGAUAUCCAAUAAAGACGCCCCAUUGAGCACGGGGAUCAAAUUUGUGUUUGGGAUGAUUUACUAUUGCACAACAUAGGCUCUCAAAAAUACGUAAAUAUGUAACAGAUGAAACUUGGCUGUAUAAUAAUUGAAAGGGUGUUUUAUCUGACAAAAUGAGGGAAGGCAAGCGAUCAAUAAAAGGUAAAUUUUAUGCCUUUAAAUUUUAAUUUUAUCGAUAAACAUUAUAUUUAAAUUACAAGUUAAACUACGUAAUACAAUUAUAAUUGAUGGAUGAUUUUAUAAAAAAAAGGUUAACAACAUUGUCAAUGAAUUUCUAUAUUAUAAAUAUAUAAAAAUAAAAUCGCCUAGUUGUUAUAGGUGAUGCAAGAGUAAUAUCAAAAGUCAGUAUUCUUUAUGAAGAUAAUACUGUAAAUAAUUUAUUAAAAACAGUUUUGAAAUAAAUUAAUAAAUUAUAAAUGAAGAAUGCUGGUAUGAUCCAAAAUUAUCGCUAAUAGGAGUGGUGUAGGAUACUUAUUAAUGGAGUCUUGUCAUCUUCACUAUGCCAACGUUGCAUAAUAUAUAACCUAUGGUGAAGUUACAGUGUUAAGGUUUUAGGGAUUAAUCAAUGGAUCAUACUAAUAAUUAUGCUUAUAAGCAACAUCUGUUUGUACAAGGUUAAUGCACCCCUUAUAUUUAUCACACUUUU